GGGAUAGAGCAUUGUAAUUAUUGCUCUUCAACGAGGAAUUCCUAGUAAGCGCAAGUCAUCAGCUUGCGUUGAUUACGUCCCUGCCCUUUGUACACACCGCCCGUCGCUAGUACCGAUUGAAUGGCUUAGUGAGGCCUC
RNAcentral lists this ribosomal RNA (138 nucleotides) under Bifidobacterium pseudocatenulatum. RNAcentral's name for it is "partial 16S ribosomal RNA". It matches the Rfam family "Eukaryotic small subunit ribosomal RNA", at positions 1573 to 1710 of the family's 1831-position model. Lineage: Bacteria; Bacillati; Actinomycetota; Actinomycetes; Bifidobacteriales; Bifidobacteriaceae. The record is from RNAcentral.